UUGAAUAUCAAUAUCCACUAAUUUCUUUCUUUUUUUUGUUAUUGUCUUAGUUUUUGAGGGUGGAACAGCUUUCUGGGUUUUCCAGCUUGGUAUUUAACAUCUGUAUUCAAAAGACUCUGUAUCUUCAACCUCUAGAAUAGCUGGGAUUACAGCUAAUGCCACAGAGCCCACUCAAUGUCUUUGUUUAUAGCCGGCAAGGGAUCCAGUGGGUGUGGAUGGUGCAGUUUCAGUGGACAGUAUGUUUACUUGCAGGGAAAACAAAAGGCCUUUACCGUUUCAAAGACUAGAUUCCAGACAUCCCUGAGUCUAUGCCUUUUCACUUGGGCUGCAGUGAGUGGCCUUCUUGGAGAACAUCAAGGCUAUAGGUCUGACCUGUUCUUUUGCUUCCAGAUGAGGUAUUUUCUGCCAUUUCAAAACAUUUUCUUCUCUUGGAAAAAUUUUCCUGUGUUUUCCUUUUUUAUCAGAACUUGUGCUUUCGAAAAGCCAACACCGCUCUCUUUGCCAUUCCUCCUUAUGCCGCGUUGAGGGUAGUGCGUUUUCUACAUUGUUUAACCAGGCAGAGCAAUUAGUGCCCAAGGAGACAGGAGGCUGACUGCCUGGCAGGAGGAAUGGUUUUCAUGGGAACAGCAUUGAAAGCCUGGCGCUGGGCGAGGACCCUUGCCAGCAGCCUCGUUUGCUGCUGGCCCUCUAGUUUGGCUGCGUACAAGUUGUUUAUACUUCAGAUGCGCUAAUGAACAGCCCCUCUCACGGAGCGGGUCCUUGGAAUAGUUUCAUCCCAGCAUGUGCCCACUCAGUCAGAGAAUCAGUAGAGAGCUGCUGUGCUCUCUGCAUGCCUGCUAAGCUAAUUCACCAAUUGUGCAGUCCUGGUUUUCUAUACCUCCUGGGGGAAGGCUUUCAUCAAGCCCAGGUCUUUCUGGAUUGAGCAAUUGGACAAAUGGGUGGGGUCUUGAUUGUGACACUGGAGCUGGAAUGAGGAAAACAUCAGGCAAAGCCUUGUGUCUCAGGGAAGCCACAUUCUAGAAAGCAUCUCUAGGUACGGAUAAACAAACAUGCAGUAGGCGAGAUGCUGAUUAGUAUCUGCUGAAACUUAGAUACCCUGCGGGACCGCAUCGAACUUGUGCUUUUGAAAAGCCAAACUCCUCCCUUUCCUUUGCCUGGUGCCAUGCUGUGAGUAGUGUGUUGAUGGAGUUCACUGAGAGUGUAUCUGGGACAUCACUUCUAAAGAAGACCUCAGAAUGGUGUGUUGAGAGGAGGAAGCCAAGGAGUGCAGGAAGAAAAAGGAAGGAUUUGACAGAAGGAAAGCUAGGAAGAAGGCCAAUACAGAAGGGAUCGAAUGAGGAAGGGAGUGUGGUGUGAACUGAGUCUCCAUUUGAGUAAGGCAGGGCCAGAGUAAGCCAAUGGGGUUUCGUUCUGACUUAGAAGUUCAUGGAGGUGUGUUUGUUAAGCAGAAGGGAGAGAGGCACCGUGGCCUGAGUGCCACCAUUCUGCUGUGCUGUACUACAGAACAACAGAGGGGAUAAAAAUGCUGGCCAGGAGAUCCUGCAGUAGAGAGGUCCAGAGAGAGAAGGUGAUGGGUUGGCCUAAAGUGGUAUUGGAGAUGGGAAGUCAUGUUGGAAUUGAAACACAUUCUUGUGUUUAAUACCACUUGUGUAUGUGCCUAACAACAAGCAAGCAGUCAACUCCAGAUGGGUGUCUCAACAUUUCACCUUAUUUCUUUCUCUUUAAAAUUUUUUUUGAGUAUUGCAUUUAAAUAACUUUCCCUUUCUUUCCUUCAACUUCUCCUGUUUUCUCCUUACCUCUGAAAAUACACCCACACCCACUCACAGACACACAGGCACACACGGAGACAUGCACACUACCUGCUGAGCCCUUUUAGUGUUCCUUAUAUAUAUGUGGUCUUAGGUAUUGGAUAACCAGUUAGGGAACUUAUUCUGGAGGAAGACGGACUCUUCUUCUCAGUGCACUUACUAAUUGAUUGUCGCUCUUGAGCUAACCAAGGAGUAGUUUCUCUAGUUGGCCUCUGUACUUACAAACACUGUGAUGACAUCUCCAGAUGACGCCUUCACUGGAAUGCAUUUUCUUCCCUCCAGCACAUACCCUUGCAUCUGGCGACUAACCGGCUGAGAGAAGGGAACACAAGCAAAUAGCACAGGAUGCCAUCUGUCUGGGGGCGUGGAUCAGUGCGUAGAAUUCAUGCUGAGGAAGUCCAGCAAUUUCUCAUGAAGUUUGACGCGCUGUCUCUGCCUAGUGCGGAUGGGAGCAGUGACUGUGUGUCCCCCGCUGUCCUUCUCAUCACAUCACGACACCUGCUGAGGAUGCUUCAGUUUGACUCCUUGCGGGUCAUCGGUUUCUUCAGACUGAGUUUCUUCUGGGUCUGCUGGCUGUCCAUCCACAUCACCUACAAGCACGGUCUGCAGAGACACAGCCUGUGCCUCCAGCAGGCAUCCAAGGCCCCGCUGCUGACCAUACUACCCUUCUGCUUCUCCCUCACGCCUAAGGCUCCUGUGAAUCCAGUGUGGAUAACUGUACACUCUGAGACUUUGGGGGGAACUCAAGAGGAGCAUCGAUGCGCUCUGGGUUCUCUUUGGGUAGAUAGGCUGUCAGGAAUUUCUUGAGCACACACCAUCUUCAGGUCCAUCUGCCUCAUCCAAAUCUUUCUCCCUACCUUGCCUUUGUGGCUCUCAAGCUGAAGAAGGCUAUUUGAGCCUAGGAUCCCCCUUUCCCCUCUCUUCUGAUUUGGUUUCCAGAGCCUUUUUACUGUGCUUGAACAUUCGCAUUCUUUACUUACGCGUUGAUUUCUCUGCCUUCAUGGAAUCUCGGUGAAGAUGAAGACACCGUCUGCUUUGAUCAUUGCUUUAUGUCUGACACGUAGAACAGCAUCUCGCACAGGGAGGAGGCUCAGAAAACAUUUGUCAGAAGAAGAAUGAAUAAAUAAAUGAGUAAACUUAUGUGGGGUACUUCGACUUACUGUAUCUAGUAAGCAGAAAUACCUUAAGUACAGGGAAGGAUUGUGGUGCCACAGAUUUCCCCCCACCCCCCACCUGUGGACAAUUUCUUACAGUUUCAUUAUCAAUAGACAUAUAGUAGAUUUAUGUGUUUGCUAUGAGAGUGGAACUGGAAUGGACAUAAAGGCAGAACUGCCUCUGCUUCCUCUCUUCUUGGCUGAUCAGUUCCAUUUCCUGACACACGUGUUUGAAGGAACCUGGUGGGCCUCGGAUUGUGUACAAUUGUGUAUCUUUGGAAAAGUCAGAGCUCUCUUGCUCUUGGCCAUGCUCAUGAUUUCUAGCUGGAAUCAAGGAAAAGUCAUUGCUUACAUUCUUCUCGGAAACCCUUGGUACAGUUGCUUGAAAAAGCCUGGAGGAAUGCAAUAAAAUAUAAAGAUGGAGACGCUGGUGGGAAAUGGACCUGAAGUUUCCUGGGUGUUUGUUUCCAUUCACGAGUAUAAGCAGAGAGAUUUAUAAUUCCAGAAAUCACAUUUUCCCCCUAAGCUGCUUUUUAUCUUCUUCUUCUAAAUGUUACUGCAGCUCACGUGCUUCUUCAAAAUCAGAAGUGAGGAUUAAAGAAGGUAAAUGUGUGGAAGAGAUUUACUGACUCCCUGGCGCAUCUCCUGUUGAGGUGGAAGCAAUCAGGGCUAUGCAUCUGGGAACACAGAGAGAAUUUAUUAGGUCUUAAGUCUUGGUACAGGUUCUCUGGGGGCUACACAGAGGAGAGAGUCUUUGAAAUUCUUCUUGAGCGUUAAGUGCAGCUCGCUCCCGGGUCAUGAGAUCUAGCAAGCACAACGUCUUAAAUCACAUGUCGGAUCUCAGGACUAAGGGAUUACUCCGCAUAUGGGGAAUUAACACGUUUGCAGUCGUUUAAUAACCACAGGCUAGAGAGUGGAGAUUGAAAGCCCGAGCUGCUUUUGCAGACCCUGGGGUUUCUGAAGACCCAUUUCUAAGAGGAAUUGUGUUUUCCAUGUAACUCCACUUCUCGGUAAGCUACCCCCUUCUGCCACCUCCCUCCCACUUCAGAUGGUUCUCAUUUGGCGCAGUUUUGCCCCCUUGGAAAAAAAACAACUAAACUAGAUCAUCUCUUAAAUGUACUGAAAGCACUGGACGUAAUAAAUCAUGAAAGGCGAUACCUUCCCUCAAACUGAAUCACGACUCCUAAUGCAGCUGACUUGUACAUUUGAAUUCCCUGUGGGUUGGCUUAAAGCUUGGCUCGGUGCCAGGUGGCCAUUAGGCAAUUGUGUGGGUGACUCUAGUACACUCUUGGUAAUUGCCCCCAGGCUUGUAAAUGGCCCCAACAAAAGGACAAGGCACACUUCUAUAUAAUUUUACAGAAGAGGGAAAAAAAAGAUACAAUAUGGAAAUUUUAUUACAACCUACAUUAGCUGCCUCUGCUUGUGCGCAUAAGAGACAAGUGAUAUUAUAGGUAUAAUUAAAUUGGAGAGAGAGAGAGAAAAAUAUGUGUGUCUAUGCUGUUGGUAUUAUUUCUGGGUAGAGAAAGCUUAAAGAAGAACUCAUCUUAUAUGGCCAUAGGGAUCUGGAUCUGCUGAGGCCCAUAUUCAUCAUCUUUUCCUUUAUUUGUUGCAAGUGGAGUAGUUUAUAAAUCAACUGUUGAAGUGCUGGUAGGUAUAUUUCAGGGUCUGUCACCCCCUGCACUGCUUGGUCCUGGAAACCUGACUGGGUCAUUGAGGGAGUGAAGGAAGGACAGACACACAGACACAUGUACAGAAAACCUGGGAUCUGAUGGUCUGUGCUUGCUCCGGUGGACCAGCAACAACUAGGUGACAAUCUGGAGUCUCAGCAUGCAUAUUACACACAGCAUGAGAGAGACUGGAUGACUAGGAGAAGAUGCUCACUGGCUUGGUGCCGUCUUCUACUCUGGGAUGUCUGCACAUCCUUUCCUCUGGCCCAGCCCACAUCACUUGGGCCUUUCUCAGGUUUUGGUGUGCCCUUGUAGAUGGCAGAUGCUCACUUACCUUUUGGAAGGCUUUGAGAAGUUGUACUAGCUUCCUGGGUGGCAACAUAAGGGGAAUGAGCUUAGCUUUGUACUCACCCUGUAUCACCCUUCGUUAUCACUCUGGGGCUAUCUUGAGUGGAUGGCCUCUGGAUUUGUGGAAAGGCUCUAGAGAACACAGCAGGUUUUUAAAGAAACGACACAUAGUUAUACGAUCUUGAGGACAUUUUGGUUCUGGAAGGAGACUGACAGGUUAACUCAUGCAACAGUUCUUGUCCCAAAAGGAAAUCAGAGUCCACAAAAUUUAAAUUACUUGGCCCCAAACUUCUAGUCAAAUUUUAAUUUGCUUUGUGUGGUUUGGGAAUAGUUUCCACCAGCUUUUUGGCAGUGAUCUCUCCCGUUCAUGUAUGCUUCUAAAGGCCAUUUGGGGGCUCAGGAAAAAUUACCCAGUGGUUAAAAGCGCUUGCUGAUCUUCCAGAGGAGCUGUGUCCAGUUUACAGCACCCAAAUUAGGUGACUUGCAGCUGCUUUAACACAUUGCUCUAGGAGAGCCAACACUCCUGGUCUCCAGCCUGUACACUCAUCCAUGUACUCAUGCACACACACAUGCAUAUAUAUGCACAUACAUAUAUUUAGAUGAUAUAUAUAUGUAUAUAAAAUUGCAAAUGAAUCAGGUGCUUAAAACAAGGCAAAAGCUAUUUUGGCAUUCUUGUGAUUAGUAAGAUUUGCUUGAAAAAACCCAACUAAAGGUAAACUAGAAGGUGUGCAUGCAAUACAGUCUUACAUUACACAAUACAGUCUUCAAGUAACAGAAAAUGUCUUACAGGACGUGACAACUGAUCUAGUUCUAAUGAAUGCUGCCAAGCAAAUGCAGCGACUAAGCUAGCAGGAAGGUGGGUAGGUGUAGCUUGAAAGUUAGGUCUCUCAUAGCUUCAGACAUUUGGACAGUCGGCAGCAGUGAUUGGGCAGUUUAGGAAAUGUGGCCUUGCUGGAGGACGUGAGAGUUCAAAGGGUUUCCAUUAUUUCCAGGUUUCUCUUGGCUCUCUGCUGGCAGUUUAUGUUGGGAAGUCUCAGCUUGCUGCACUAGACAGUGGACCUGCACGCUGCCAUGUUUCUCUGCUGUGAUGUUGAAGGACUCUUAGCGCUCUGGCGUUAUCAUGAACCAGCUUCUGACUUGAACAUUUUGAGAGGGCAGCUGCUAUGAUGAAGAGGCCAGGGUGGCAAGGAACUGAAAGUGACUUCUAACCAAGGAAAUCAUUUGGCAAGGAUCAGAGCUCUUAAGUUCAACUCCUGUGAAGAAGUGGAUUCUGUGUUGAUAGAAGAGCUUAGAAUAAGGGUCUUCCUCAGUUUAGUGGUAAGCCUUCUGCAGCCCAGUGCAAACCUUCAUUGCAGUCUAUGAGAAAUCCUUAGAUCAAAAGAUACAAUGAACCAUAGGGCAUCCCUGCCCCACACAAGCUGAUCGACAAAAAUCUUAAACUAUUUUUAGUUACCAAAUUUUGGAGAAAGCUGUCUGGUGCCAGCACGGAUUUGCUAAAGAUGUAGCAAAAAUGGGUGAGACAAGCUUGUAGGUUUAAUUACAGGGCAUUGUUAGGUGUCUUACGUUUUGAGGGACACUGGAUAUUAAUUUUGCAAUUGCAAAAUGGAAUUCAUUUUAGAUGAAGGUGCCUUCAGACAGGCAAAAACAUCAAAGAGUCCUCUGUUCCUUUUAAGUUCCUAGGGACAGAAUGGCAUUUGUGACACAGAAAUUUUGCGUCGAGUUGAGCCUGUUUUUGUUGUUGUUGUUUUUGUUUUUGUUUUCUUUUUUUUUCAGUAAUUUGGAAGCAUGGCUGGUAAAACAAAAUGGUGCCUGCCAGCAUCAGAUUGUUAGUUGUACAAAUUGUAACAACCAUGAUUUAUUGGCCACUUGGAUCGUGCUAGGGGGUCCUCACAAUCCCAUUCUAAGGAAUUCUCUAACCAAUCAUAAGAUACAGGAAAACAAUUCUAUAUAUAUAUAUAUAUUUUUUUUUUUUUUAGAGUGAGAAAAGAGACAUGUUGGAACAUUAGGAAGCCUGUAGUGUUCAAUGGCCAUGUUUUCAAGACUUGGGCGUGUCUCCCUCCAGCCCUGUGUUCUUGAUUUUCCAGCUUCUCUAAUGCAAAGCCAAAGGCUCUUCUCUGCUUUACUGGAUCCAUGGUGGCAAAUGUGUUUUGUAAACAAAACAAACAAACAAAAAGACAAUCAAAAACAUCAUCAGCAAAUGAAAAUAAACCUAUCCCAAUAAGCACCUCCACUACAAUGCUACCACCUCCCAAGCCUCUUAGCGCUAGCCAGCAUCUUUCCCCCAAGUGUAUUCACAGCUAGUCAUAUGCUCGUCCACAGGCUUUUCUACCUUGUUUGCACAUUAGUUUAUUAUUAUUUAUUAUUAUUAUUAUUUGGCUCCUAUUUUUUUAACUUAAUAGAUUUUUGCUGAAUUCAGAAUUGUGUAAGUUUGUUGAGGAUCAACAUGGGUGCUUCCAUAUCUGUUGCUAUGGCUUUCAAAUAGUAAGGAAUGAGUUCUUUCCGAUGCAUUCUAAAGAUUUAUUUAUUUAUUAUAUGUAAGUACACUGUAGCUGUCUUCAGACACCCCAGAAGAGGGCAUCAGAUCUCAUUAUGGAUGGUUGUGAGAUUUGAACGUGGUUGCUGGGAUUUGAACUCAGGACCUUUGGAAGAACAGCCAGUGCUCUUAACCACUGAGCCAUCUCCAUCCCCCUCUGAUCCAUUCUAUUAGUUUCAGAUGAAGACAGUGAUCAUCUGAGAGUGUGUUGUCCUCUGGGGUCUUUUCAGUCUUGUGUAAGGUGCUAGCAAGGUCAGGAAGGGCUGGACUGAGAACAAGAUGUUCCAUAAAAUCACCAUUGUGAAUUCUCCCAAAGACAAGCUUUGUUCCUGGCCCAAAGGCAUGAAUGUUUACAUGGAUCAAUUGCUGUACUUCUUACUUGGGCAAAAUCUCUAACAAAGGAAGGAGGGCUUAUUUUGUUUGUGAAGGGACAAGACACCCUAGGACCGAGAUCUCAGCACAAACAAGGGACAAACGGGAGGGAAUAAGAGACAAAGAUAGGAGAUAGAGGAUGAGGGAGAAGGAAAAAGGAACAAGGGAAAGGAGGAAGGGACACAUGUCCUACAGGGGAACAAAGGACUACCUAUGGAUAGAGAAAGACAUGGCCCAUAGGCAAAUGACAGCUCUAAAGCUAUAAGGGAAAACCCCAUGUUAGGAUGAGCUGUCUAAAUUUGAUUUGGGUAUGUUAAUUAGCAAUCUCAAAAGGGAGCUUUUAAUUGCUGGACUUCAAUACUUUGAUAGCUGGACCUUGGCAAUCAUCCUGAGGGGAGGAAGUGGCCAAAUAAGGGAAUAGAGUUGGUGGCUAGCUUUAGGAGUGUAAUCUAAUGUUUUUUUUCCUUUUGUUUUUUGUUUUUGUUUUUGUUUUUUAGCAAGCAGGAAGGAAUAGGGGAAGGCCAAGGCCUGUCAGAGUCAUAUUUGCCAUGCUAGAGUCCCUUCAGUUUUAACUUCCAGAGACCCAUGUCCGCUGUGGUAGGGAAAGCAUAGUGAAAGCCAGCAGCACACACUGCAGUUUAGGAAGCAGAGAACUUGGAUGCCAAUGUUCUGAUGGCUUUCUCCAUUUCUUCUUUUACUUUUUUUUUCAGGCACCAACACACUGGACAGGGUCAUACACAUCCUGGGAAUGUUGACAUUCUCUAGAAACCUUCUUAGUGGUAUACCCGGUAGUGUAUCAUCAGGUUGACAAAGAGGCUAAGUUAACCCACCAGGAAGGAAAAUUAAGGUGACAAAGCACCAUAGUUUGCUUGCGAUUGGCAGAACUUCUAGGAGAGCCAGCAUAUGAGCCAGCAUAUGAGCCAGUUAACCUUGUGAGCAUAAGCAUAUGGUAGGGUGCACAGCCACCACUGUUUUCUAUUAACAUGGCUUCUUAUUCCUAUGACUUCUAAUUUAACUAACCAAUUAGCCACUACCAGCCGAUCUUGCUCUAGUUUCAAGGUGUGGUAGACCCUGUUACUUUGUGUUUUGUUUCCAAACCAUGACAAGUUAGGUGGCUUUAAACAACUGCUUAAAUUUAGACUUUUUUAAAAAAAUAUAUUUUGUGUGUUAUGCCUGCAUUUAUGUCUGUACAACACACAUGUGCCUGGUACUGAGGGAGGUCAGAAGAGGAUGUCAUAUCUCCCAGAACUAGACUUAUGUGAAUGGUAGAAAUCAAACCCUUGUUUUCUGGAAGAGCAGGCAGUGCUCUUCACUGCUAAGCCAUCUCUUCAUAUAUGUUUUAAAAAUUACAUAUAUGUGUGUCUGUCUGUGUCGGGGUAUGGGCAUGUGAGGACAGUUAUCCAAAGGCCAGAAAAGGAGGGCAAAUGUUUUGGAGCUGAGGUUGUAGAAUGUUGUGUGCCACCCAGUGGGAGUACUGAGAGCCAAACCCAGGCUCUCUGCAAGAACCGUACACACUAUUAAAGGCUGAAUCCUUUCUCUGGUCCCUUAACAACCACAUAUAGCUGGGAAGAUCUAGUGGUAUUUGGAGACAAUUUAUCACCACCAUUUCUCUGUGAUGUACAGGCAAGGCCCCUGGGUCUGUUCUGUGUAGCAGCUCCACUUUGAAGUCCUGGAGGGUUGUACCCACUGUGCAGCCAUAGAAGGUGCAGAGAGGCACAAAAGAAGCUUAUUAGUAUGCACUACAGGUCCAGGAGAGCCCUAUCAAAAGCUCACAUGCCAAGCUAUUUAAUUUGUUGGCCCGCUCUGUAGAAGGAGACCUGCUGGGCAGGGUGGGUUUGAAGAAUCAGAUGGAAAGAAAUAUAAACGAAUCUAAUUCACACUAUAAUUCUUGGCUGCACUCACAUGCGCAUGUAAACUUUUCCUACCAUGGAGUUGGCAUAAAUCUUUUGCCACUUUCCCUGAGCUGGUAUCUGGCAGCUGAAAGUUGAUAGAAAAGAAAAAAAAAUCACACAAUUGAGCAGACUAAAUUUUUCAAAACUUCCUCUUGUCCCUAAGCCAACCAUGGCGUUGCUUCUGCCUUAUGACCUUGUUUUAGUCUUCAUGGAGAUAAAAAUCAUCUUCUUAAGUUCUGUGACUUGUCACCGCCAGGAUAACAUUUCAUUCCACCCCAUGCUCCUUCUUAGUCAGUAGUUAGGGAGACUCCAUUUCCACUCUCAUGCCAGUAUCCUUCUUGGUUGUUGAACAAACCUUACUGUGUCUGUACAGUGUACUUAUUUCUUUUACGCAUUUGUCUGUUGAUGGGCAUCUAAGCAGAGCUGCGCAUCAUGGCUAUGAAUCUAGGCCCUUAUUAAUUGUGCUGCAAUAAGCAUAAAUGUUCAGUCUCUGUAGUGUACUGACCUAGGUUCCUUGAGUAUGCCCCCAAAGUAGUGUAUGGAAAAUCAUGUAUUCUUUUAUUCCCAUCUCUUUAGUUCUGAAUAUCUAUAUUAUUAAUAUACAUUAUUAUUAUUGGUACAGUAUGAUGGUAUAAUAUUGAAUUUUGUUGUGUAAAAAUGUAUCAUCCAAAAAAGCCAUUUAAAUUUUAUAUUUAAACCCUUGUGAUUUUAUUUGUACAUCGUCAUUACAAUUUGUCCACAUUUAAUACUGAGAUAACAGCUCUUAAAUUUUCUUUCAUUGGUAAAGAAAGGACAUUUGUCAUAAGGAAAUAUUGAUUUUUCCUUUUGAUUCUUGCUACUGACUUUUAUUUUCUGUGUGGUUUACGUUUUUCUUUGUUUUGAUAGUUUUUUGGUUAAGUAUUAUAAGAUUAAACUUGUAGAAUAUUUUAUCUAUAGAUUUCAGAAAUAUGUCAAAGCUCAUGUAAGACAAUAAGGGAAACUCUGAGAAGUACAUUAGCUUUAGGCACGUCUGGAUCGAGGAGUGAAAAUGUGUCUCUCUGUCUCUGUUGUUUUAUGCUUACCGGUUCUGUGCUGAGCUGAGCUGUUGUGGAGCUACUGAUGUCUCCUAGCAAUCCGCAAGUCCUUUGUCUGUGCUGCAGACCAACAGAAAGUCAACUCUGUAGAGUAUAAUUGAUAUGUGAAUUAAAAAUGUUUGCUAUAAAUACAAUGAGAUAUUGUAGCACA
This is a long non-coding RNA of Mus musculus (house mouse), 10998 nucleotides long. RefSeq annotates it as RIKEN cDNA 4930445E18 gene. NCBI's taxonomy places the organism in Eukaryota, Metazoa, Chordata, Mammalia, Rodentia, Muridae. The transcript has 4 exons. The record is from RefSeq and is a predicted model, not a curated record.